GUUAAAAAGCUCGUAGUUGGAUUUCUGUUAGGGGCGGCCAGUCCGCACUUCGUGCGAGUAUUUGGUUCAUCCCUGGCAUCCUCCUGGGGAGCGUAAUUGUACUUGAUUGUAUGAUACGUAAUUCAGGACUUUUACUUUGAGGAAAUUAGAGUGUUCACGGCAGGCGUUUGCCUUGAAUAUGUUAGCAUAGAAUAAUAAUAUAAGACCUCGGUUUUAUUUUGUUGGUUUCUAGAAGCGAGGUAAUGAUUAAUAGGGACAAUUGGGGGUAUUCGAAUUAACGCGUCAGAGGUGGAAUUCUUGGAUUGCGUUACGACGAACUACUGCGAAAGCAUUUACCAAGGAUGUUUUCAUUGAUCAAGAACGAAAGUCAGGGGAUCGAAGACGAUUAGAUACCGUCGUAGUCUUGACCAUAAACUAUGCCAACUAGAGAUUGGAGGUCGCUCUUUUUACGGCUCCUUCAGCAUCUUAUGAGAAAUCAAAGUCUUUGGGUUCCGGGGGGAGUAUGGUCGCAAGGCUGAAACUUAAAGGAAUUGACGGAAGGGCACCACCAGGAGUGGAGCCUGCGGCUUAAUUUGACUCAACACGGGAAAA
This 591-nucleotide ribosomal RNA is filed under the name uncultured marine eukaryote. Its description in RNAcentral is "SSU rRNA". It matches the Rfam family "Eukaryotic small subunit ribosomal RNA", at positions 618 to 1213 of the family's 1831-position model. The record is from RNAcentral.